CCUGUAUAAAGCCCAUCAGCUGAGAGCAGAAAGUGGUUGCAGUGAGGAAAAACAGCAAGAGAAGAUAAGAUGUGAGGAGGGGAUGUUCUGAUCAGGAUUAUGGUGGAGCUUUACACUGAAAAUAUUUUGUGCUAGCACUUCAAUGAAAGUUUACAACAACAUGGAACUGAAUCCUACAUUGUCAACAGUAAAGGUAUAAGAGGGGAAGGGCAGACUACAGCUGCUGGAAAUAUUUCAGUCAUUAGAAGAAAAGCAGAAACUGACACUAAUCUGGAGAAAAAGCAACCAAUGAUAUUCAGAUCAAUGAUGAAAAUAUUGAAUGGCAGCUGGCCUCCUUUGGAAAUCCUGAGAGCUGGAGGCCCUCCUCAUAACUACCGCUGUAGAAAUUGAAUGAGUGGCAAUAUCAGUAGCAUCAAGGGAGGCCUGGAAAGAUAUUCUGGUGAGCAGCUGGCCUUCUACAAAAAUUGCCUGGAAUUGCUGUCUAUGUUCUGCUUAUAGAUGCUCAAUAAAUAAGUUCAGCUUGGUA
Mauremys reevesii (Reeves's turtle) is the source of this 526-nucleotide long non-coding RNA. RefSeq lists it as uncharacterized. The transcript has 4 exons. The record is from RefSeq and is a predicted model, not a curated record. Lineage: Eukaryota; Metazoa; Chordata; Testudines; Geoemydidae.